CAGUCGCCGCGGGAAUACGAGGGGGGCAAGCGUUGUUCGGAAUUAUUGGGCGUAAAGCGUGCGCAGGCGGUUAUAUAAGACAGAUGUGAAAUCCCCGGGCUCAACCUGGGACCUGCAUUUGUGACUGUAUAGCUAGAGUACGGUAGAGGGGGAUGGAAUUCCGCGUGUAGCAGUGAAAUGCAUAGAUAUGCGGAGGAACACCGAUGGCGAAGGCAAUCCCCUGGACCUGUACUGACGCUCAUGCACGAAAGCGUGGGGAGCAAACAGGAUUAGAUACCCCUGUAGUCCCUGUCUCUUAUAC
RNAcentral lists this ribosomal RNA (301 nucleotides) under uncultured bacterium. Its description in RNAcentral is "partial 16S ribosomal RNA". It matches the Rfam family "Bacterial small subunit ribosomal RNA", at positions 509 to 807 of the family's 1533-position model. The record is from RNAcentral.